GAUGAACGCUGGCGGCGUGCCUAAUACACGCAAGUCGAGCGAACAGACGAGGAGCUUGCUCCUCUGACGUUAGCGGCGGACGGGUGAGUAACACGUGGAUAACCUACCUAUAAGACUGGGAUAACUUCGGGAAACCGGAGCUAAUACCGGAUAAUAUAUUGAACCGCAUGGUUCAAUAGUGAAAGACGGUUUUGCUGUCACUUAUAGAUGGAUCCGCGCCGCAUUAGCUAGUUGGUAAGGUAACGGCUUACCAAGGCAACGAUGCGUAGCCGACCUGAGAGGGUGAUCGGCCACACUGGAACUGAGACACGGUCCAGACUCCUACGGGAGGCAGCAGUAGGGAAUCUUCCGCAAUGGGCGAAAGCCUGACGGAGCAACGCCGCGUGAGUGAUGAAGGUCUUCGGAUCGUAAAACUCUGUUAUCAGGGAAGAACAAAUGUGUAAGUAACUAUGCACGUCUUGACGGUACCUAAUCAGAAAGCCACGGCUAACUACGUG
Molecule: ribosomal RNA, 497 nt
Filed under: uncultured bacterium
Lineage: Bacteria
Description: partial 16S ribosomal RNA
Rfam family: Bacterial small subunit ribosomal RNA
Source: RNAcentral